UCAGGUGGUUAUUGCGGCGGGGUCCCACCUCUUCCCAUUCCGAACAGAGAAGUUAAGCCCGUU
This 63-nucleotide ribosomal RNA is filed under the name Segatella salivae. Lineage: Bacteria; Pseudomonadati; Bacteroidota; Bacteroidia; Bacteroidales; Prevotellaceae. The record is from RNAcentral.